GGGCCCGUAGCUCAGCUUGGAUAGAGCGGCAGCCUCCUAAGCUGAAGGUCGUGGGUUCAAAUCCCACCGGGCCCG
Molecule: transfer RNA, 75 nt
Filed under: Candidatus Micrarchaeales archaeon
Lineage: Archaea; Nanobdellati; Microcaldota; Candidatus Micrarchaeia; Candidatus Micrarchaeales
Also listed under: 1 other name
Description: tRNA-Arg
Rfam family: tRNA
About the family: Transfer RNA (tRNA) molecules are approximately 80 nucleotides in length.
Source: RNAcentral